UCUUGUACACACCGCCCGUCACACCACGGAAGCAAGCAACACCCGAAGCCGGUGGCCUAACCCUUUGGGAGGGAGCCGUCGAAGGUGAGGCUCGUGACUAAAGUG
This 105-nucleotide ribosomal RNA is filed under the name uncultured bacterium. RNAcentral describes it as "partial 16S ribosomal RNA". It matches the Rfam family "Bacterial small subunit ribosomal RNA", at positions 1379 to 1482 of the family's 1533-position model. The record is from RNAcentral.